GCGAAAGUGGCGGAAUUGGUAGACGCACCAGAUUUAGGUUCUGGCGCCGCAAGGUGUGGGGGUUCGAGUCCCCCCUUUCGCACCA
Molecule: transfer RNA, 85 nt
Filed under: Nitrosomonas sp.
Lineage: Bacteria; Pseudomonadati; Pseudomonadota; Betaproteobacteria; Nitrosomonadales; Nitrosomonadaceae
Also listed under: 1 other name
Description: tRNA-Leu
Rfam family: tRNA
About the family: Transfer RNA (tRNA) molecules are approximately 80 nucleotides in length. Their secondary structure includes four short double-helical elements and three loops (D, anti-codon, and T loops).
Source: RNAcentral